RNAcentral lists this ribosomal RNA (274 nucleotides) under uncultured bacterium. RNAcentral's name for it is "partial 16S ribosomal RNA". It matches the Rfam family "Bacterial small subunit ribosomal RNA", at positions 523 to 796 of the family's 1533-position model. The record is from RNAcentral.
AUACGGAGGGUGCGAGCGUUAAUCGGAAUUACUGGGCGUAAAGCGCGCGUAGGCGGUUUGGUCAGUCGGAUGUGAAAGCCCUAGGCUCAACCUGGGAAUGGCAUUCGAUACUGCCUGACUAGAGUAUGGUAGAGGGAAGUGGAAUUUCCGGUGUAGCGGUGAAAUGCGUAGAUAUCGGAAGGAACACCAGUGGCGAAGGCGACUUCCUGGGCCAAUACUGACGCUGAGGUGCGAAAGCGUGGGGAGCAAACAGGAUUAGAAACCCCGGUAGUCC